AUUGAACGCUGGCGGAAUGCUUUACACAUGCAAGUCGAACGGCAGCACGGAUUCGGUCUGGUGGCGAGUGGCGAACGGGUGAGUAAUGUAUCGGAACGUGCCCAGUCGUGGGGGAUAACGCAGUGAAAAUUACGCUAAUACCGCAUACGAACUAUGGAUGAAAGCGGGGGAUCGCAAGACCUCGCGCGAUUGGAGCGGCCGAUAUCAGAUUAGGUAGUUGGUGGGGUAAAGGCGCACCAAGCCAACGAUCUGUAGCUGGUAUGGGAGGACGACCAGCCACACUGGAACUGAGGCGCGGUCCAGACUCCUACGGGAGGCAGCAGUGGGGAAUUUUGGACAAUGGGCGAAAGCCUGAUCCAGCCAUUCCGCGUGCAGGAUGAAGGCCCUCGGGUUGUAAACUGCUUUUGUACAGAACGAAAAGGUUUCUACUAAUACUAGGAGCUCAUGACGGUACUGUAAGAAUAAGCACCGGCUAACUACGUGCCAGCCGCCGCCGUAA
This 499-nucleotide ribosomal RNA is filed under the name uncultured bacterium. Its description in RNAcentral is "partial 16S ribosomal RNA". It matches the Rfam family "Bacterial small subunit ribosomal RNA", at positions 30 to 523 of the family's 1533-position model. The record is from RNAcentral.